CAUAGCGACUAUCGUGGCAUAUCAAUAAGCGGAGGAAAAGAAACUAACAAGGAUUCCCUUAGUAACGGCGAGUGAAGCGGGAAGAGCUCAAAUUUGAAAUCUUCAAGGUUUUACCUUGACGAAUUGUAGUUUAAAGAAGUGUUUUCUGUUGAAGUUUUGGUAAAAGUUCUUUGGAAUAGGACAUCAUAGAGGGUGAGUAAUCCCGUAUUUGACCAUUAUUUUCAGCUGUGUGAUACACUUUCAAAGAGUCGGAUUGUUUGGGAAUGCAGUCCAAAAUGGGUGGUAAAUUUCAUCUAAAGCUAAAUAUUGGCGAGAGACCGAUAGCGAACAAGUACCGUGAGGGAAAGAUGAAAAGAACUUUGAAAAGAGAGUUAAACAGUACGUGAAAUUGUCAAAAGGGAAGCGUUUGACACCAGUGUUGUUUUCUCGAAAAUCAAUUAAAAAAGGCCGGAUUUUGUAGUUGUAUUGACCUUAAAAGCUUUCUUCACUCUUUUCUUGUCUUUUUUAAUGCACUUUUCGUUUAACAAGUCAACAUCAGUUUCUUUUGUUGUAAAAGGGUCAUUGGAAGGUGGCUUUCUUUUCGGAGAAAGUGUUUAUAGCCUUUGAUCUCUGCAAUCCGGAGAGACUGAGGUCUGCAGCGUAGACUCUUCGGGGUUAGAUACAUUUGUGCUAAGCUAUAGCCUUUUAUAGACAACUUGUUGACUAUGAUUAGUCAUUGUAGCUUACUCGCUUAUGCUAUUUUACCUACGCUUAGGAUGUUGAUAUGCAUGACUGAUAU
This 778-nucleotide ribosomal RNA is filed under the name uncultured Neocallimastigales. Its description in RNAcentral is "partial large subunit ribosomal RNA". It matches the Rfam family "Eukaryotic large subunit ribosomal RNA", at positions 22 to 634 of the family's 3401-position model. Lineage: Eukaryota; Fungi; Neocallimastigomycota; Neocallimastigomycetes; Neocallimastigales. The record is from RNAcentral.